This 397-nucleotide ribosomal RNA is filed under the name uncultured bacterium. RNAcentral's name for it is "partial 16S ribosomal RNA". It matches the Rfam family "Bacterial small subunit ribosomal RNA", at positions 523 to 918 of the family's 1533-position model. The record is from RNAcentral.
AUACGUAGGUGGCAAGCGUUGUCCGGAAUUAUUGGGCGUAAAGCGCGCGCAGGCGGUCCUUUAAGUCUGAUGUGAAAGCCCACGGCUCAACCGUGGAGGGUCAUUGGAAACUGGGGGACUUGAGUGCAGAAGAGGAAAGUGGAAUUCCAAGUGUAGCGGUGAAAUGCGUAGAGAUUUGGAGGAACACCAGUGGCGAAGGCGACUGUCUGGUCUGUAACUGACACUGAGGCGCGAAAGCGUGGGGAGCAAACAGGAUUAGAUACCCUGGUAGUCCACGCCGUAAACGAUGAGUGCUAAGUGUUGGGGGGUUUCCGCCCCUCAGUGCUGCAGCUAACGCAUUAAGCACUCCGCCUGGGGAGUACGGUCGCAAGACUGAGACUCAAAUGAAUUGGCGGGG